AUUGAACGCUGGCGGCAUGCCUUACACAUGCAAGUCGAACGGCAGCAUGAUCUAGCUUGCUAGAUUGAUGGCGAGUGGCGAACGUGUGAGUAAUACAUCGGAACGUGCCCUGUAGUGGGGGAUAACUAGUCGAAAGAUUAGCUAAUACCGCAUACGACCUGAGGGUGAAAGUGGGGGACCGCAAGGCCUCAUGCUAUAGGAGCGGCCGAUGUCUGAUUAGCUAGUUGGUGAGGUAAAGGCUCACCAAGGCGACGAUCAGUAGCUGGUCUGAGAGGACGAUCAGCCACACUGGGACUGAGAAACGGCCCAGACUCCUACGGGAGGCAGCAGUGGGGAAUUUUGGACAAUGGGCGAAAGCCUGAUCCAGCAAUGCCGCGUGUGUGAAGAAGGCCUUCGGGUUGUAAAGCACUUUUGUCCGGAAAGAAAUGGCUCUGGUUAAUACCUGGGGUCGAUGACGGUACCGGAAGAAUAAGGACCGGCUAACUACGUG
RNAcentral lists this ribosomal RNA (490 nucleotides) under uncultured bacterium. Its description in RNAcentral is "partial 16S ribosomal RNA". It matches the Rfam family "Bacterial small subunit ribosomal RNA", at positions 30 to 507 of the family's 1533-position model. The record is from RNAcentral.